AAGGGCACCACAAGAACGCGUGGAUCAUGUGGCUUAAUUUGACUCAACGCGGGAAAUCUUACCGGGUCCGGACACACUGAGGAUUGACAGGUUAUGGGGCGGGUUGAAUUUCAAUCUCUUCGGGGAUUAAUUUUCUCCCACCUCAAAAAUAUGCUAGUCCUUUCAUGAUUAUGUGAUAGGUGGUGCAUGGCCGUUCUUAGUUCGUGGAGUGAUCUGUCUGCUUAAUUGCGUUUCACUAAAGGCGUCAUUAAUUUUUUGUGCCUGUGUUUGACCCCGCACUUCGGUGCGCGCGCGUCUUUCACACACAAUUACUUUGACGUCUGAAAGCAACGAACGUGACCGUAACCUCUUGUUGCCUUCUCUUCUCUUCGGAGAAUGCUGCUUUAUACCUUCACGGGUGUAUCGCAGUAUACGGAGGCUUAAUACUCAGUAACUAGAGGGACCGCUGUUACUUUCUUUAAACCAGAGGAAGGUUGCGGCAAUAACAGGUCUGUGAUGCCCUUAGAUGUUCCGGGCUGCACACGUGAUACAUUGAUUACUUCAGUGAGUAUCUACGUAUUACUGCGCAGCAGUAUACGCGUGUUGUUUAUUGCUUCGGCAAUUUACUUUGCGCUAUACGCCGCCUUAACCUACUUCGAAAGUAUGUGGGUAACCAAUUAGAAGUAGUGAUUUCCCUCUUUAUAAGCACACUUAUAUGGAGCAUCAUCACCCGGCAUGCCUUGUGCAUGUUUUGUGUGUGUUGUUUGUCUACAUGUGCUUUUGUCAAUUCAUAGUGGGGACAGACCAUUGUUAAUUGUUGGUCUCGGUCUUAACUAGGAAUGCCUUGUACGAGUUUUUGGUUCAACAAACCACUCGGAAUACGUCCCUGCCCUUUGUACACACCGCCCGUCGCUCUUACCGAUGGAUUAUAUUAUGAGUUGGCAGGACCGUCCAGGAAAUGCCUGCGAAUAAUGUGAUCUAAAGGAAAGAGAAGUCGUAACAAGG
RNAcentral lists this ribosomal RNA (984 nucleotides) under Elphidium sp. S5. Its description in RNAcentral is "SSU rRNA". It matches the Rfam family "Eukaryotic small subunit ribosomal RNA", at positions 1160 to 1799 of the family's 1831-position model. Lineage: Eukaryota; Foraminifera; Rotaliida; Elphidiidae. The record is from RNAcentral.